GGAUGAACGCUAGCGGCAGGCUUAACACAUGCAAGUCGAGGGGCAUCGGGAGGGAAGCUUGCUUUCCUUGCCGGCGACCGGCGCACGGAGUGAGUAACACGUAUGCAACCUGCCUUCUUCAGGGGGACAACCUUCCGAAAGGGAGGCUAAUCCCGCGUAUAUCGGUUUCGGGCAUCCGAGAUCGAGGAAAGAUUCAUCGGAAGAGGAUGGGCAUGCGGCGCAUUAGCUAGACGGCGGGGUAACGGCCCACCGUGGCGACGAUGCGUAGGGGUUCUGAGAGGAAGGUCCCCCACACUGGUACUGAGACACGGACCAGACUCCUACGGGAGGCAGCAGUGAGGAAUAUUGGUCAAUGGGAGAGAUCCUGAACCAGCCAAGCCGCGUGAGGGAAGACGGCCCUAUGGGUUGUAAACCUCUUUUGUCGGAGAACAAAACCCGGGACGUGUCCCGGACUGCGUGUAUCCGAAGAAAAAGCAUCGGCUAACUCCGUGCCAGCAGCCGCGGUAAUACGGAGGAUGCGAGCGUUAUCCGGAUUUAUUGGGUUUAAAGGGUGCGUAGGCGGUCUGUUAAGUCAGCGGUAAAAUUGCGGGGCUCAACCCCGUCGAGCCGUUGAAACUGGCAGACUUGAGUUGGCGAGAAGUACGCGGAAUGCGCGGUGUAGCGGUGAAAUGCAUAGAUAUCGCGCAGAACUCCGAUUGCGAAGGCAGCGUACCGGCGCCAGACUGACGCUGAGGCACGAAAGCGUGGGGAUCGAACAGGAUUAGAUACCCUGGUAGUCCACGCAGUAAACGAUGAAUGCUGGUUGUCCGGGUCGAAUGAGACCUGGGCGGCGAAGCGAAAGCGAUAAGCAUUCCACCUGGGGAGUACGCCGGCAACGGUGAAACUCAAAGGAAUUGACGGGGGCCCGCACAAGCGGAGGAACAUGUGGUUUAAUUCGAUGAUACGCGAGGAACCUUACCCGGGCUCAAACGGGAGUGGAAUGGACCAGAGACGGUUCAGCCCACGGGCCGCUUCCGAGGUGCUGCAUGGUUGUCGUCAGCUCGUGCCGUGAGGUGUCGGCUUAAGUGCCAUAACGAGCGCAACCCCCGCCGGCAGUUGCUAACGGGCAAUGCCGAGGACUCUGCCGGGACUGCCGCCGCAAGGCGUGAGGAAGGCGGGGAUGACGUCAAAUCAGCACGGCCCUUACGUCCGGGGCGACACACGUGUUACAAUGGGCGGUACAGCGGGAAGCCAGGCGGCGACGCCGAGCGGAACCCGAAAGCCGUUCUCAGUUCGGAUCGGAGUCUGCAACCCGACUCCGUGAAGCUGGAUUCGCUAGUAAUCGCGCAUCAGCCAUGGCGCGGUGAAUA
This 1349-nucleotide ribosomal RNA is filed under the name uncultured bacterium. Its description in RNAcentral is "bacterial SSU rRNA". It matches the Rfam family "Bacterial small subunit ribosomal RNA", at positions 27 to 1368 of the family's 1533-position model. The record is from RNAcentral.